GUGUCAGCAGCCGCGGUAAAACGUAGGACGCAAGCGUUAUCCGGAGUUACUGGGCGUAAAGGGCGUGCAGGCGGCUUGACAAGUUCUUUGUGAAAGCGCCCGGCUAAACUGGGCGAGUGCAGGGAAGACUGUCAGGCUAGAGGGUGGUAGAGGGACAUAGAAUUCCGGGUGUAGUGGUGAAAUGCGUAGAGAUCCGGAGGAAUACCAGAGGCGAAGGCGGUGUCCUGGGCCAUUUCUGACGCUAAGACGCGACAGCAUGGGGAGCAAACGGGAUUAGAAACCCUUGUAGUCC
Molecule: ribosomal RNA, 292 nt
Filed under: uncultured bacterium
Lineage: Bacteria
Description: partial 16S ribosomal RNA
Rfam family: Bacterial small subunit ribosomal RNA
Source: RNAcentral